Molecule: ribosomal RNA, 665 nt
Filed under: Nocardia brasiliensis
Lineage: Bacteria; Bacillati; Actinomycetota; Actinomycetes; Mycobacteriales; Nocardiaceae
Description: bacterial SSU rRNA
Rfam family: Bacterial small subunit ribosomal RNA
Source: RNAcentral
GACCUUUCAGUGCAUGCUGUUGGGUGGAAAGAUUUAUCGGUGCGAGAUGGGCCCGCGGCCUAUCAGCUUGUUGGCGGGGUAACGGCCCACCAAGGCGACGACGGGUAGCCGACCUGAGAGGGUGACCGGCCACACUGGGACUGAGACACGGCCCAGACUCCUACGGGAGGCAGCAGUGGGGAAUAUUGCACAAUGGGCGGAAGCCUGAUGCAGCGACGCCGCGUGAGGGAUGACGGCCUUCGGGUUGUAAACCUCUUUCGACAGGGACGAAGCGCAAGUGACGGUACCUGUAGAAGAAGCACCGGCCAACUACGUGCCAGCAGCCGCGGUAAUACGUAGGGUGCGAGCGUUGUCCGGAAUUACUGGGCGUAAAGAGCUUGUAGGCGGUUUGUCGCGUCGUCCGUGAAAACUUGGGGCUCAACCCCAAGCUUGCGGGCGAUACGGGCAGACUUGAGUACUUCAGGGGAGACUGGAAUUCCUGGUGUAGCGGUGAAAUGCGCAGAUAUCAGGAGGAACACCGGUGGCGAAGGCGGGUCUCUGGGAAGUAACUGACGCUGAGAAGCGAAAGCGUGGGUAGCGAACAGGAUUAGAUACCCUGGUAGUCCACGCCGUAAACGGUGGGUACUAGGUGUGGGUUUCCUUCCACGGGAUCCGUGCCGUAGCUA